GGGGAUGUAGCUCAGUGGUAGAGCGUGUGCUUCGCAUGUGUGAGGUCUUGGGUUCAAUCCCCAGCAUCUCCA
Molecule: non-coding RNA, 72 nt
Organism: Pundamilia nyererei
Lineage: Eukaryota; Metazoa; Chordata; Actinopteri; Cichliformes; Cichlidae
Source: the annotation of a RefSeq genome assembly